AAGAAAGGUCAUGAGGUUUUGGUGCAAGGCGGUGUGAUUGAUGAUCUCGCAAAACAUCUGAUUGAACAGUAUGGAAUUCCAAAGAGAUACAUUGAAGUUCUUGAUAAAACCAGGAAAUGAGAUGUAGGCAAAUGGUGAAAAAGUGAGGUGGUGAUUGGGGUAUUGAACUUUAUGGAUAUGCAUCAAAUUGCCCGACACUGCCUAGUAAAUGUUUUAUGUUUUUCUUUACGCUUGCUGCAAUACCAGAGUAGAGAGGAAAAUGAAGAGGGAAGAGGUGUAUAAGGUCGUCUUUUGUGCACCAUAGUUUGCAAUACUUCUGUCAUGCCUAGGGUUUAUGAGGUAGCACAUUUUGAAGCUCUAUAAUUUAUUUUCAUUAAGUCAUAUCUCAUUAUGUUAA
Molecule: long non-coding RNA, 397 nt
Organism: Alnus glutinosa
Lineage: Eukaryota; Viridiplantae; Streptophyta; Magnoliopsida; Fagales; Betulaceae
Exons: 2
Source: RefSeq, a predicted model, not a curated record